UUUUGGUUUUUCUUUCUCUCUUGCGCAAGACAGCCUUGGGCUGACCCCACCUACUUGGUGCGCCACCCCAAGGUCCUUGGGCCCUCCCGGGUGGGUGGUCCCCCCUCCCGGUGAAGAUCCAGAACCCAUUCGUCAUUCCCGGUGCAUUACCGGUAAUGCCCGAAAAUUUUCCAGUAACCAAAUGAAGUCAUCCUAUAUAUAAAUCUUCAUUUUGGACCAUUCCGGAAACCCUCGUGACGUCCGUGAUCUCAUCCGGGACUCCGGACAACAUUCGGUAACCAACC
This 284-nucleotide long non-coding RNA is filed under the name Hordeum vulgare. Its description in RNAcentral is "long non-coding RNA (HVUL_LNC001976)". The record is from RNAcentral. Lineage: Eukaryota; Viridiplantae; Streptophyta; Magnoliopsida; Poales; Poaceae.